ACACAUGCAAGUCGAACGGAGCUGUUUUGAUGAAGUUUUCGGAUGGAUUUAAAACAGCUUAGUGGCGGACGGGUGAGUAACGCGUGGGUAACCUGCCUCACACUGGGGGAUAACAGUUAGAAAUAGCUGCUAAUACCGCAUAAGCGCACGGUUCCGCAUGGAACAGUGUGAAAAACUCCGGUGGUGUGAGAUGGACCCGCGUCUGAUUAGCCAGUUGGCGGGGUAACGGCCCACCAAAGCGACGAUCAGUAGCCGGCCUGAGAGGGUGAACGGCCACAUUGGGACUGAGACACGGCCCAAACUCCUACGGGAGGCAGCAGUGGGGAAUAUUGCACAAUGGGGGAAACCCUGAUGCAGCGACGCCGCGUGAGUGAAGAAGUAUUUCGGUAUGUAAAGCUCUAUCAGCAGGGAAGAAAGUGACGGUACCUGAAUAAGAAGCCCCGGCUAACUACGUGCCAGCAGCCGCGGUAAUACGUAGGGGGCAAGCGUUAUCCGGAUUUACUGGGUGUAAAGGGAGCGUAGACGGCAAGGCAAGUCUGAAGUGAAAGCCCGGUGCUUAACGCCGGGACUGCUUUGGAAACUGUUUAGCUGGAGUGCCGGAGAGGUAAGCGGAAUUCCUAGUGUAGCGGUGAAAUGCGUAGAUAUUAGGAAGAACACCAGUGGCGAAGGCGGCUUACUGGACGGUAACUGACGUUGAGGCUCGAAAGCGUGGGGAGCAAACAGGAUUAGAUACCCUGGUAGUCCACGCCGUAAACGAUGAUUGCUAGGUGUAGGUGGGUAUGGACCCAUCGG
This 792-nucleotide ribosomal RNA is filed under the name uncultured bacterium. RNAcentral's name for it is "bacterial SSU rRNA". It matches the Rfam family "Bacterial small subunit ribosomal RNA", at positions 51 to 843 of the family's 1533-position model. The record is from RNAcentral.